AGCUCCAGCAGCGUAUAUUUAUAUUGCUGCGUUUAAAAAGCUCGUAGUUGAAGCGUCAGACGCGGGAGGGCGGACGGCCGCACUGGUCGCUCUCGCCCGACCGAGCCAGGCGCAGAGGGCGCGUGUCGCUUGCACUUCACCGUGUGAGCGCACCGCCGCUGCACGUUCACCUUGAAGAAAUUGAACCGCUUAGAGGGGGCGAGCAGCUUGAACAGCUCAGCAUGGUAUGAUGAAACAUGGGCUCGUACUCAUUUUGUUGGUUAGAGAGUCGGCGAGCCAAUGAUUAACAGGGACUGCCGGGGGCAUUCGUACUCGGACGGGAGAGGUGAAAUUCAAGGAUCGUCCGAAGACGCCCUACUGCGAAAGCAUUUGCCAAGAAUGUUUUCAUUAAUCAAGAACG
This 400-nucleotide ribosomal RNA is filed under the name phytoplankton environmental sample. Its description in RNAcentral is "partial small subunit ribosomal RNA". It matches the Rfam family "Eukaryotic small subunit ribosomal RNA", at positions 587 to 985 of the family's 1831-position model. The record is from RNAcentral.